This 423-nucleotide ribosomal RNA is filed under the name uncultured bacterium. Its description in RNAcentral is "partial 16S ribosomal RNA". It matches the Rfam family "Bacterial small subunit ribosomal RNA", at positions 360 to 776 of the family's 1533-position model. The record is from RNAcentral.
AAUUUUGGACAAUGGGGGAAACCCUGAUCCAGCCAUCCCGCGUGUAUGAUGAAGGCCUUCGGGUUGUAAAGUACUUUUGGCAGAGAAGAAAAGGUAUCUCCUAAUACGAGAUACUGCUGACGGUAUCUGCAGAAUAAGCACCGGCUAACUACGUGCCAGCAGCCGCGGUAAUACGUAGGGUGCAAGCGUUAAUCGGAAUUACUGGGCGUAAAGCGGUUGUAGGCGUUCCGGAAGGAAAGUGUUGAAACCCAAGGGCUAACCCUUGAACUUGCAUUUUUAACUGCCGAGUUGGAGUAGGUAAGAGGGGGUAGAAUUCCACGUGUAGCAGUGAAAUGCGUAGAUAUGUGGAGGAAUACCGAUGGCGAAGGCAGCCCCCUGGGAUAAUACUGACGCUCAGACACGAAAGCGUGGGGAGCAAACAGG